Molecule: non-coding RNA, 21 nt
Filed under: Caenorhabditis elegans
Lineage: Eukaryota; Metazoa; Nematoda; Chromadorea; Rhabditida; Rhabditidae
Source: RNAcentral
UUUUCAAUUUUAUUAGCUGUU